GAGAUUGAAUGUCAAGAAGUAGAGGAGAGAAAAAGAUUGAAAAACAUAGUUGCUGAUGUUUGAUAGAGGAAAAGAAUGAAAAGGUAAAGUUAGAAAUGGGUAAAGGAGAAAAGGAGUGAGAGAAAAUGUGAAGAAAAGUUUGCAAUAAUGAUGUAUUGAGUGAGUUUUAAUAGAGGAAGAAGAUGACCGUUGAAGGGUUCUCAGAGGAUCUUUUUGGACAUAUCUAAACAUUGGGUCGUUUUAGAAUUUAGAUAGACAUUUAUUAUGGCAAAAUUGACGUUUUACUUAUCUUUACCAAAAAAUAAACAAUAAACUAAUAGUGACAAACGAGAAGGACAAAAAUAAAACAUCACUAUAUUUUUGAAGAGAUAAAUUUGAUAAUUUAAACUUUAUA
Molecule: long non-coding RNA, 394 nt
Filed under: Ananas comosus (pineapple)
Lineage: Eukaryota; Viridiplantae; Streptophyta; Magnoliopsida; Poales; Bromeliaceae
Description: long non-coding RNA (ACOM_LNC029625)
Source: RNAcentral